GUUCUCUCAAUGAAUUGAAGCCCCAGUGAACGGCGGCCGUAACUAUAACGGUCCUAAGGUAGCGAAAUUCCUUGUCAGGUAAGUUCUGACCCGCACGAAAGGCGUAACGAUUUGGGCGCUGUCUCGGCAGCAGACUCGGUGAAAUCUUAGUACCUGUGAAAAUGCAGGUUACCCGCAACUAGACGGAAAGACCCCAUGGAGCUUUACUGUAGCCUGAUAUUGAAUUUUGAUCAAAGAUGUACAGGAUAGGUGGGAGGCGAAGAAGAUUGCACGCCAGUGUAGUCAGAGCCGCUGUUGGGAUACCACUCUUGUUUGAUUGAAGUUCUAACCUGCACCCAUGAACUGGGUGAGGGACCGUGUCAGGUGGGCAGUUUGACUGGGGCGGUCGCCUCCUAAAGAGUAACGGAGGCGCCCAAAGGUACGCUCAGAUUGGAUGGAAAUCAAUCGACGAGUGCAAAUGCAGAAGCGUGCUUGACUGUGAGACAAACAAGUCGAACAGGGACGAAAGUCGGGAUUAGUGAUCCGGCGGUGCCGAAUGGAAGGGCCGUCGCUCAACGGAUAAAAGCUACCCUGGGGAUAACAGGCUGAUCUCGCCCAAGAGUUCACAUCGACGGCGAGGUUUGGCACCUCGAUGUCGGCUCAUCGCAUCCUGGAGCUGAAUUCGGUUCCAAGGGUUGGGCUGUCCGCCCAUUAAAGCGGUACGCGAGCUGGGUUCAGAACGUCGUGAGACAGUUCGGUCCCUAUCUGUUGUGGGCGUUGGAGAUCUGAGGAGAGCUGUCCUUAGUACGAGAGGACCGGGAUGGACCUACCGCUGGUGCACCAGUUGUUCCGCCAGGAGCAUAGCUGGGUAGCUAAGUAGGGAAGGGAUAAGCGCUGAAAGCAUCUAAGCGCGAAGCCUACUCCAAGAUGAGAUCUCCCAUUCGUAUAACGAAGUAAGACCCCUUGAAGACGACGAGGUGGAUAGGUCAGAGAUGGAAGUGUAGCGAUACAUGGAGUUGACUGAUACUAAUAGGUCGAGGACUUAAUCAC
This 1029-nucleotide ribosomal RNA is filed under the name human gut metagenome. Its description in RNAcentral is "bacterial LSU rRNA". It matches the Rfam family "Bacterial large subunit ribosomal RNA", at positions 1898 to 2925 of the family's 2925-position model. The record is from RNAcentral.